CUUGCUUAAGGGAAGAUCGUGAUCGUGUUUGCGUAUCGAAGAAAAUCUAUAGUAAAAAUUGUUAUCGCGUAUUCGUCAAUUUAAUCGGAUUUUGAAAUUUAUUCGAUAGACAUUUAUCUAUAUUCGAAGAUGAAGAUCGAUAGGAGUUCGUAAUUAAAAAUUUAAUCAAUCAGAAUUUUGACACGUUAUGUGUGUAUUUGUAUCGUCACGAUGAUUUUUCCGAAAUAAAUUUCAAAAUCCAAAAGCAACAAUUUUUUCUUUUUUACGAAAAUAACAUUAUUCCCGAAGGUCUGAUUGAUCGUUUUUUUUUUUUCUAAAAAAAAAAACGUAUAUAUACGUAUAUAUAUAUUCGUAAUUCUAAUUCGUGAUUUGUAUUCCAAUGGAUCGUAAUACUACGUAACAAGAGGACGUACGAGUGAUUACAUUUAGCAAAUAAAUAAACGUGAAAGCCUUGUCUUACUCCUUCCUAACUACGUCAUCCCAAGCAUCUCUUUUCCAUGUGUUAAACGUGAAAAAUUUUUCUUAUCCCUUCUAUAAUAUUAAUUCACUAAAGUAUCCUGCGCAGGUGUGCAGACCGACGGUAAGUAGCGCAUAGAAGAUAUCUAUCGGCCGAUAGGAUCCAGAGAGCACAGUGCCUCGAAGCUGUUACGAGUCGGCACACGACCCUCUAUUAACUGUCCCAUAAACAGAUAAUCGUGAAUUACAUAAAACGAUAUGAUCGUACGACGAGGUCAGAUAAAGUCAAGAGUUAAGAGAUAUGGGAAUGAUCAUAUUCGCAUUUCUCAGCUCGUUCGAGUAACGUCUAGGUCUAGAUAUUAAUUAAGAAUGUAUCAUGAUAGAGAAUCGAUCUGAUAAAGUUAUAAAUAGAAAAUGAACAAUAGAGAUAGAUAGAUAGAUAGAUUGAUAGA
Molecule: long non-coding RNA, 908 nt
Organism: Vespa velutina
Lineage: Eukaryota; Metazoa; Arthropoda; Insecta; Hymenoptera; Vespidae
Exons: 3
Source: RefSeq, a predicted model, not a curated record